GAUGAACGCUAGCGGGAGGCUUAACACAUGCAAGUCGAGGGGCAGCAUAGGGUAGCAAUACUCUGAUGGCGACCGGCAAACGGGUGAGUAACGCGUAUGCAACCUACCCUGUACAGGGGGAUAACCCGGAGAAAUUCGGACUAAUAUCCCGUAAUAAUAUCCGGAGGCAUCUUUGGAUAUUUAAAGUUUCGACGGUACGGGAUGGGCAUGCGUAACAUUAGCUGGUUGGUAAGGUAACGGCUUACCAAGGCUAUGAUGUUUAGGGGUCCUGAGAGGGUGGUCCCCCACACUGGUACUGAGACACGGACCAGACUCCUACGGGAGGCAGCAGUGAGGAAUAUUGGUCAAUGGGCGCAAGCCUGAACCAGCCAUCCCGCGUGCAGGAAGACGGCGCUAUGCGUUGUAAACUGCUUUUCCAGGGAGAGAAACUUGCGCACGUGUUGCGCAAUUGACGGUACCCUGGGAAUAAGCAUCGGCUAACUCCGUGCCAGCAGCCGCGGUAAUCU
This 506-nucleotide ribosomal RNA is filed under the name uncultured bacterium. RNAcentral's name for it is "bacterial SSU rRNA". It matches the Rfam family "Bacterial small subunit ribosomal RNA", at positions 28 to 526 of the family's 1533-position model. The record is from RNAcentral.